UGCAAGUCGAGCGGAUGACGGGAGCUUGCUCCUUGAUUCAGCGGCGGACGGGUGAGUAAUGCCUAGGAAUCUGCCUGGUAGUGGGGGACAACGUUUCGAAAGGAACGCUAAUACCGCAUACGUCCUACGGGAGAAAGCAGGGGACCUUCGGGCCUUGCGCUAUCAGAUGAGCCUAGGUCGGAUUAGCUAGUAGGUGAGGUAAUGGCUCACCUAGGCGACGAUCCGUAACUGGUCUGAGAGGAUGAUCAGUCACACUGGAACUGAGACACGGUCCAGACUCCUACGGGAGGCAGCAGUGGGGAAUAUUGGACAAUGGGCGAAAGCCUGAUCCAGCCAUGCCGCGUGUGUGAAGAAGGUCUUCGGAUUGUAAAGCACUUUAAGUUGGGAGGAAGGGCAGUAAGCUAAUACCUUGCUGUUUUGACGUUACCGACAGAAUAAGCACCGGCUAACUCUGUGCCAGCAGCCGCG
RNAcentral lists this ribosomal RNA (468 nucleotides) under Pseudomonas putida. Its description in RNAcentral is "bacterial SSU rRNA". It matches the Rfam family "Bacterial small subunit ribosomal RNA", at positions 56 to 519 of the family's 1533-position model. The record is from RNAcentral. Lineage: Bacteria; Pseudomonadati; Pseudomonadota; Gammaproteobacteria; Pseudomonadales; Pseudomonadaceae.